UAGGUACUGUGAGUAUCUAAAGAGAGC
Molecule: non-coding RNA, 27 nt
Filed under: Rattus norvegicus (Norway rat)
Lineage: Eukaryota; Metazoa; Chordata; Mammalia; Rodentia; Muridae
Source: RNAcentral